UUGAUGUCAAUCCUUUUAAAGAAGUUCCUUUAUACAGAAAUGAUUACAUUCAAGCAUACAAGAAUAAAUUCCUUGAGACCCCUCAUGUAUAUGCAAUUGUAGAAACGUCCAUCCGAGAAAUGACAUGAGAUGGAUUAAAUCAAUCUAUCAUCAUAAGGUUGAUGUUCUUUUUAUUUCCUUUUUCAUUCUCCGACUAUUUUAUAUGGCUGACCAAUUUUAUUUAAGUUACAUCCUAUACCAAUGUCUCAUUAUUUGUUAUAUUGAGAAUGAAAAUCUAGCAACAUGAUUUGAUGGUUCUUGAAUGAAAAUAUCAUAGGUUGCCUAAAAAAAUAAUUGUUUCUCUUUUGGAUAUAAAGAUGAUUUGUUAUGUAGCUCUACUUUCUGUUGUGAUGUGGAUGACCAAAUGCUAAGAAGUUCAUGGUUUAUCGGAUGCUAUGACUAUGGGCGUGCAUGCCAACUUUUUAUGCUUAGCACUUUUAUUGAGUCAGAAUGGGCAACAUUAAGAUGUAAAAGGGGAGUAUAGUUGUUUAACGGUUACUCUUAACUUCACUGCCUAUUUAAGUAGGUGUUAUGGGUAUUAACUUACUUAAGGUUUAGGAUGUCUAUGUGGUGAGAGUGGAGCAGGAAAAACUGAGACAACAAAGAUAACAAUGCAAUAUUUAGCUGCUCUUGGAGGUGGGAAUGGAAUAGAGUAUGAAAUAUUAAAGACCAUUCCCAUCUUAUAAGCAUUUGGUAAUGCAAAGACAUUAAGAAACGAUAACUCGAGCAUAUUUGGAAAGUUGAUCAAAAUCCACUUUAGUGAGACUGAAAAAAUAUAUGGGGCA
This is a long non-coding RNA of Hibiscus syriacus, 824 nucleotides long. RefSeq lists it as uncharacterized. Lineage: Eukaryota; Viridiplantae; Streptophyta; Magnoliopsida; Malvales; Malvaceae. The transcript is spliced from 4 exons. The record is from RefSeq and is a predicted model, not a curated record.